Molecule: non-coding RNA, 131 nt
Organism: Malus domestica (apple)
Lineage: Eukaryota; Viridiplantae; Streptophyta; Magnoliopsida; Rosales; Rosaceae
Source: RefSeq, a predicted model, not a curated record
AUUUCGCCGAAUCGUUCAGAUCUUCGCCUCCUCCUUACCAAUUUCGUCCCAAUUUUCAAAUUUUCAGGUGUUGAUAUAGAGAUUUAAAGGGGAAAUUUUGAAGGAGAUUGUAGAUUUGGUAUUAGAUUAUA